Molecule: transfer RNA, 106 nt
Filed under: Bacteroides uniformis
Lineage: Bacteria; Pseudomonadati; Bacteroidota; Bacteroidia; Bacteroidales; Bacteroidaceae
Also listed under: 8 other names
Description: tRNA-Lys
Rfam family: tRNA
About the family: Transfer RNA (tRNA) molecules are approximately 80 nucleotides in length.
Source: RNAcentral
GCCUCUUUAGCUCAGUUGGUUACGCCGAAACGCGGAGCGUUUUGGUGGCUUGGAGAGCACGACACUCUUAAUGUUGGGGUCCAGGGUUCGAGCCCCUGAGGGGGUA